GAGUUUGAUCCUGGCUCAGGACGAACGCUGGCGGCGUGCUUAACACAUGCAAGUCGAACGAGACCCCACCUUCGGGUGGGUGUUCUAGUGGCGAACGGGUGAGUAACACGUGGGCAACCUGCCCCCGGCUCUGGGAUAACUCCAAGAAAUUGGGGCUAAUACCGGAUAUGACCGCUGACCGCAUGGUCUGGUGGUGGAAAGUUUUUCGGCUGGGGGUGGGCCCGCGGCCUAUCAGCUUGUUGGUGGGGUAGUGGCCUACCAAGGCGACGACGGGUAGCCGGCCUGAGAGGGUGACCGGCCACACUGGGACUGAGACACGGCCCAGACUCCUACGGGAGGCAGCAGUGGGGAAUAUUGCGCAAUGGGCGGAAGCCUGACGCAGCGACGCCGCGUGGGGGAUGACGGCCUUCGGGUUGUAAACCUCUUUCACCCACGACGAAGCGAAAGUGACGGUAGUGGGAGAAGAAGCACCGGCCAACUACGUGCCAGCAGCCGCGGUAAUACGUAGGGUGCAAGCGUUGUCCGGAAUUAUUGGGCGUAAAGAGCUCGUAGGCGGUUCGUCGCGUCGGCUGUGAAAACCCGGAGCUCAACUCCGGGCCUGCAGUCGAUACGGGCGGACUUGAGUGUUGCAGGGGAGACUGGAAUUCCUGGUGUAGCGGUGAAAUGCGCAGAUAUCAGGAGGAACACCGGUGGCGAAGGCGGGUCUCUGGGCAACUACUGACGCUGAGGAGCGAAAGCGUGGGGAGCGAACAGGAUUAGAUACCCUGGUAGUCCACGCCGUAAACGGUGGGCGCUAGGUGUGGGGCCAUUCCACGGUCUCCGUGCCGCAGCUAACGCAUUAAGCGCCCCGCCUGGGGAGUACGGCCGCAAGGCUAAAACUCAAAGGAAUUGACGG
This 895-nucleotide ribosomal RNA is filed under the name uncultured Actinomycetes bacterium. RNAcentral's name for it is "bacterial SSU rRNA". It matches the Rfam family "Bacterial small subunit ribosomal RNA", at positions 9 to 916 of the family's 1533-position model. The record is from RNAcentral. Lineage: Bacteria; Bacillati; Actinomycetota; Actinomycetes.